RNAcentral lists this small RNA (72 nucleotides) under uncultured Acetitomaculum sp. RNAcentral's name for it is "RAGATH-18 RNA". It matches the Rfam family "RAGATH-18 RNA". From Rfam's summary of the family: Actinobacteria, Firmicutes, Fusobacteria, Thermotogae (1 example). Nearby to self-cleaving ribozyme genes The record is from RNAcentral. Lineage: Bacteria; Bacillati; Bacillota; Clostridia; Lachnospirales; Lachnospiraceae.
CUGCGGAGUGUACAAGAACUUGUGAGUAGUGUGUUGCUUGCAACCACCAAAACAUACACGUUGAAGCAGUAA